Molecule: ribosomal RNA, 383 nt
Filed under: Stenogammarus similis
Lineage: Eukaryota; Metazoa; Arthropoda; Malacostraca; Amphipoda; Pontogammaridae
Description: partial 16S ribosomal RNA
Rfam family: Archaeal large subunit ribosomal RNA (bases 239-383)
Source: RNAcentral
UUGGAAACUCGUAUGAACGGCUUAAUUAACGGAAUUAGUUUGUUUUUUAAAUAGCAGAUUAAAGAUAAAGUAAGAAUUCUUUAAUAAAUUAGAGGACGAUAAGACCCUAGAAGCUUUAUAACUAGUUGGUAUUUAAUGGUGCUAAAAAUAUUAAUUUACUGGGGCAGUAGUUUUGAAUAGAUUAAAAAAUAGAUAGACGACCCUUUUUAUAAAGAUUAUAUGAAUAAGUUACUUUAGGGGUAACAGUGCAAUAUAUUUGGAGAGACCAGAUCUAUAAAUAUGUUUGCAACCUCGAUGUUGAAUUAGAAUUUCUGUACGGGCAAAAUAUAUACAAGAAAGUUUGUUCAACUUUUGAAUUUCUACAUGAUCUGAGUUCAAACCGG